Molecule: ribosomal RNA, 1363 nt
Filed under: uncultured bacterium
Lineage: Bacteria
Description: bacterial SSU rRNA
Rfam family: Bacterial small subunit ribosomal RNA
Source: RNAcentral
GCUAGCGACAGGCUUAACACAUGCAAGUCGAGGGGCAGCGGUGGUGAAGGCUUGCCUUUACCAGCCGGCGACCGGCGCACGGGUGAGUAACACGUAUGCAACCUGCCUGCCACAGCCGGAUAAUCGGGAGAAAUUCCGUCUAAUACGGCAUAAUGCACCUAUGGGACAUCCUGUUGGUGCCAAAGGUUGAUUCCGGUGGCGGAUGGGCAUGCGUCGCAUUAGUUAGUUGGCGGUGUAACGGACCACCAAGACGACGAUGCGUAGGGGUUCUGAGAGGAAGGUCCCCCACACUGGUACUGAGACACGGACCAGACUCCUACGGGAGGCAGCAGUGAGGAAUAUUGGUCAAUGGGCGGGAGCCUGAACCAGCCAAGUCGCGUGAGGGAUGACGGCCCUAUGGGUUGUAAACCUCUUUUGCCGGGGAGCAAAGUGCCGCACGUGUGCGGUUUGGAGAGUACCCGGAGAAAAAGCAUCGGCUAACUCCGUGCCAGCAGCCGCGGUAAUACGGAGGAUGCGAGCGUUAUCCGGAUUUAUUGGGUUUAAAGGGUGCGUAGGCGGACGCUUAAGUCAGCGGUAAAAUUGCGGGGCUCAACCUCGUCGAGCCGUUGAAACUGGGUGCCUUGAGUGGGCGAGAAGUACGCGGAAUGCGUGGUGUAGCGGUGAAAUGCAUAGAUAUCACGCAGAACUCCGAUUGCGAGGGCAGCGUACCGGCGCCCAACUGACGCUGAAGCACGAAGGCGUGGGUAUCGAACAGGAUUAGAUACCCUGGUAGUCCACGCAGUAAACGAUGAAUGCUAGUUGUCCGGGGCGAUUGAGUUCUGGGUGACACAGCGAAAGCGUUAAGCAUUCCACCUGGGGAGUACGCCGGCAACGGUGAAACUCAAAGGAAUUGACGGGGGCCCGCACAAGCGGAGGAACAUGUGGUUUAAUUCGAUGAUACGCGAGGAACCUUACCCGGGCUCAAACGCAGGAGGGAUGUUUUUGAAAGGAGGCAGCCAGCAAUGGUCUCCUGCGAGGUGCUGCAUGGUUGUCGUCAGCUCGUGCCGUGAGGUGUCGGCUUAAGUGCCAUAACGAGCGCAACCCCUACCUACAGUUGCCAUCGCGUGAUGGCGGGCACUCUGUGGGGACUGCCUGCGCAAGCAGUGAGGAAGGCGGGGAUGACGUCAAAUCAGCACGGCCCUUACGUCCGGGGCGACACACGUGUUACAAUGGCAGGUACAGCGGGAAGCCACCCGGCGACGGGGCGCGGAACCCGAAAACCUGUCUCAGUUCGGAUUGGAGUCUGCAACCCGACUCCAUGAAGCUGGAUUCGCUAGUAAUCGCGCAUCAGCCACGGCGCGGUGAAUACGUUCCCGGGCCUUGU